RNAcentral lists this long non-coding RNA (564 nucleotides) under Panax ginseng (ginseng). RNAcentral describes it as "long non-coding RNA (PGIN_LNC002447)". Lineage: Eukaryota; Viridiplantae; Streptophyta; Magnoliopsida; Apiales; Araliaceae. The record is from RNAcentral.
AAGAUGUGGUUUAGUGGGCCGGAUUUCAAGGAUAACAUGGCCAAGUGGUUAGUCAGGUCAGUGCAACAGUUGAAUGACAACUUUAUAAAUAGCAAUAAGCCAUUUUAUGCGAAAAAGAACACAAACAACACACUCUAAAACAUUCAAUUUUCCAGUUUUUCUAGUAAAUUUAGCUUAGGCUACAACAGUUAGCAUAUUAAGCCAACUGUUGGCUUAGUUAUUUGUUGUGAUAGGUAGUUGCAUUGGAUUUACAAUUUGUUACGUCCAUUCAGACUUAGUUGUGUAUUCAAUCUUGGAUCUGUAGCUUGUUACGUCCUUUUGGACUUAGUUACAUGUUCAAUCCUAGUUGUUUACUUUCAUCUAGACUGUUAUACGGUGUUAUUGAAUUGCUUUGCACUUUAUCAAAAAUGUAUUGAUCCGGGUUGUAAAAUUUACAACAUAUCCAACAGUUAUUUCCAGAUUUUACUUCACCGACUGUUUCUAGUAAUUAAAAUUCUUGCAUGUAUGUGUAUAUGUGUGAGAUUGAUAUUUGCUAGACAAGCAGAUAGAUCAGUUUAACAGCUU